RNAcentral lists this unclassified non-coding RNA (231 nucleotides) under plant metagenome. RNAcentral describes it as "partial contains small subunit ribosomal RNA, internal transcribed spacer 1, and 5.8S ribosomal RNA". The record is from RNAcentral.
UCUCCGUUGGUGAACCAGCGGAGGGAUCAUUACUGAGUUACCGCUCUACAACCCUUUGUGAACAUACCUAACUGUUGCUUCGGCGGGCAGAGGUCCCUCGCGGAUCUCUCCCGGCAACGCCCUCACGGGCGGAGCGCCCGCCGGAGGAUUCCAAACUCUAUUUUAACGACGUUUCUUCUGAGUGGCACAAGCAAAUAAUUAAAACUUUUAACAACGGAUCUCUUGGCUCUG